Molecule: non-coding RNA, 30 nt
Filed under: Mus musculus (house mouse)
Lineage: Eukaryota; Metazoa; Chordata; Mammalia; Rodentia; Muridae
Source: RNAcentral
CCAGGAAACCAUUCCUCAGGAAAGCUGAUU